RNAcentral lists this ribosomal RNA (497 nucleotides) under uncultured bacterium. RNAcentral describes it as "partial 16S ribosomal RNA". It matches the Rfam family "Bacterial small subunit ribosomal RNA", at positions 28 to 507 of the family's 1533-position model. The record is from RNAcentral.
GACGAACGCUGGCGGCGUGCCUAAUACAUGCAAGUAGAACGCUGAAGAGAGGAGCUUGCUCUUCUUGGAUGAGUUGCGAACGGGUGAGUAACGCGUAGGUAACCUGCCUUGUAGCGGGGGAUAACUAUUGGAAACGAUAGCUAAUACCGCAUAACAAUGGAUGACACAUGUCAUUUAUUUGAAAGGGGCAAUUGUUCCACUACAAGAUGGACCUGCGUUGUAUUAGCUAGUAGGUGAGGUAAUGGCUCACCUAGGCGACGAUACAUAGCCGACCUGAGAGGGUGGUCGGGCACACUGGGACUGGGAAACGGCCCAGACUCCUACGGGAGGCAGCAGUAGGGGAUCUUCGGCAAUGGGGGCAAACCUGACCGGGCAACGCCGCGGGAGUGGAGAAGGUUUUCGGAUCGGAAAGCUCUGUUGUAAGUGAAGAACGGGUGUGAGAGUGGAAAGUUCACACUGUGACGGUAGCUAACCAGAAAGGGACGGCUAACUACGUG